RNAcentral lists this ribosomal RNA (1388 nucleotides) under Lysinibacillus fusiformis. RNAcentral describes it as "23S rRNA. Bacterial LSU". It matches the Rfam family "Bacterial large subunit ribosomal RNA", at positions 144 to 1525 of the family's 2925-position model. RNAcentral also lists the same sequence under 1 other name. The record is from RNAcentral. Lineage: Bacteria; Bacillati; Bacillota; Bacilli; Caryophanales; Bacillaceae.
CGUAGUAUCUUGACGUGAAUACAUAGCGUCUUGAAGGCAGACCCAGGGAACUGAAACAUCUAAGUACCUGGAGGAAGAGAAAGAAAAAUCGAUUCCCUGAGUAGCGGCGAGCGAAACGGGAAGAGCCCAAACCAAGAGGCUUGCCUCUUGGGGUUGUAGGACACUCAAUACGGAGUUACAAAAGAGCGAGUUAGAUGAAGCGACUUGGAAAGGUCCGCCAGAGCAGGUAAAAGCCCUGUAGUCGAAAGUUCGUUCCCUCCUGAGUGGAUCCUGAGUACGGCGGAACACGUGAAAUUCCGUCGGAAUCCGGGAGGACCAUCUCCCAAGGCUAAAUACUACCUAGUGACCGAUAGUGAACCAGUACCGUGAGGGAAAGGUGAAAAGCACCCCGGAAGGGGAGUGAAAGAGAUCCUGAAACCGUGUGCCUACAAGUAGUUAGAGCCCGUUAAUGGGUGAUAGCGUGCCUUUUGUAGAAUGAACCGGCGAGUUACGAUUACGUGCGAGGUUAAGCUUUAGAAGGCGGAGCCGCAGCGAAAGCGAGUCUGAAUAGGGCGAAAUAGUACGUGGUCGUAGACCCGAAACCAGGUGAUCUACCCAUGUCCAGGGUGAAGGUAAGGUAACACUUACUGGAGGCCCGAACCCACGCACGUUGAAAAGUGCGGGGAUGAGGUGUGGGUAGCGGAGAAAUUCCAAUCGAACUUGGAGAUAGCUGGUUCUCUCCGAAAUAGCUUUAGGGCUAGCCUCGUGAUGAGAAUACUGGAGGUAGAGCACUGUUUGGACUAGGGGGCCAUCCCGGUUUACCGAAUUCAGACAAACUCCGAAUGCCAGAUAUUUAUACACGGGAGUCAGACUGCGAGUGAUAAGAUCCGUAGUCAAAAGGGAAACAGCCCAGACCACCAGCUAAGGUCCCAAAGUAAUCGUUAAGUGGAAAAGGAUGUGGCGUUGCACAGACAACCAGGAUGUUGGCUUAGAAGCAGCCAUCAUUUAAAGAGUGCGUAAUAGCUCACUGGUCGAGUGACGCUGCGCCGAAAAUGUAUCGGGGCUAAACGAUUCACCGAAGCUGUGGAUUGACAUCUACGAUGUCAGUGGUAGGAGAGCGUUCUAAGUGCGUUGAAGUCAGACCGGAAGGACUGGUGGAGCGCUUAGAAGUGAGAAUGCCGGUAUGAGUAGCGAAAGACGGGUGAGAAUCCCGUCCACCGUAUGACUAAGGUUUCCUGAGGAAGGCUCGUCCGCUCAGGGUUAGUCGGGACCUAAGCCGAGGCCGAUAGGCGUAGGCGAUGGACAACAGGUUGAUAUUCCUGUACCACCUCCUCACCGUUUGAGAAAUGGGGGGACGCAGUAGGAUAGGGUAAGCGCGCUGUUGGUUAUGCGCGUCCAAGCAGUAAGGC